This 292-nucleotide ribosomal RNA is filed under the name uncultured bacterium. RNAcentral's name for it is "partial 16S ribosomal RNA". It matches the Rfam family "Bacterial small subunit ribosomal RNA", at positions 505 to 796 of the family's 1533-position model. The record is from RNAcentral.
GUGUCAGCAGCCGCGGUAAUACGAAGGGUGCAAGCGUUACUCGGAAUUACUGGGCGUAAAGCGUGCGUAGGUGGUUUGUUAAGUCUGAUGUGAAAGCCCUGGGCUCAACCUGGGAAUUGCAUUGGAUACUGGCAGGCUAGAGUGCGGUAGAGGAUGGCGGAAUUCCCGGUGUAGCAGUGAAAUGCGUAGAGAUCGGGAGGAACAUCUGUGGCGAAGGCGGCCAUCUGGACCAGCACUGACACUGAGGCACGAAAGCGUGGGGAGCAAACAGGAUUAGAAACCCCUGUAGUCC